UUUGCCUGGUUGGGACAUAUG
This 21-nucleotide non-coding RNA is filed under the name Caenorhabditis elegans. Lineage: Eukaryota; Metazoa; Nematoda; Chromadorea; Rhabditida; Rhabditidae. The record is from RNAcentral.